Molecule: long non-coding RNA, 415 nt
Filed under: Mytilus galloprovincialis (Mediterranean mussel)
Lineage: Eukaryota; Metazoa; Mollusca; Bivalvia; Mytilida; Mytilidae
Source: RNAcentral
AAAGAAACUGACUACCAUCUGAACAAUGAGUGUUUUGUCAGCUUCUUAUGUUCAAGCAUAGAUAGUCAUUAUCCCAUUAAAACCUGACGGUGGAGUGCCUUCCUGUAAGUACAGGUCUCUAUACACCAAGACUUGCUCUUCAGUUGCCUCUGAGAAGUCGACUGACCAAUGUACGAACACUUACACGACCACCUGGAGAAACUGUGUAUUUGUAAACGCGCAGAUGACAUUUGAUAAGAGGUUGCUUGACUGCUUUAUCGGAGUUCAAUCUUUUUGGUCGUAAUUGAUUUUCUUAGUGUAUGUUGAAGGUAAUUCAUAACACCAAACAUUAAUAUUUUUUUCGCAAUAGUUAAAAAAUAUUGCCAGUUAUAUUUCGGUGGUGCUUAACUUUUGGCGGACUGUAUAUAUUGUAUAA